RNAcentral lists this ribosomal RNA (1404 nucleotides) under uncultured bacterium. RNAcentral describes it as "partial 16S ribosomal RNA". It matches the Rfam family "Bacterial small subunit ribosomal RNA". The record is from RNAcentral.
CCUUAGAGUUUGAUCCUGGCUCAGGAUGAACGCUAGCGACAGGCCUAACACAUGCAAGUCGAGGGGCAUCGGGGCGAGGAGCAAUCCUUGCCGCCGGCGACCGGCGCACGGGUGAGUAACGCGUAUGCGACCUGCCCGUUGCAGGGGGAUAAUCGGGAGAAAUCCCGUCUAAUACCGCGUAAUGCCGCGGGGCUGCAUGGCCCUGCGGCCAAAGGAAGCGAUUCCGGCAACGGAUGGGCAUGCGUGACAUUAGCUAGUUGGCGGGGCAACGGCCCACCAAGGCGACGAUGUCUAGGGGUUCUGAGAGGAAGGUCCCCCACACUGGUACUGAGACACGGACCAGACUCCUACGGGAGGCAGCAGUGAGGAAUAUUGGUCAAUGGGCGCGAGCCUGAACCAGCCAAGUCGCGUGAGAGAUGACGGCCCUACGGGUUGUAAACCUCUUUUGUCGGGGAGCAAAUUCCGCCACGCGUGGCGGAGUCGAGAGUACCCGAAGAAAAAGCAUCGGCUAACUCCGUGCCAGCAGCCGCGGUAAUACGGAGGAUGCGAGCGUUAUCCGGAUUUAUUGGGUUUAAAGGGUGCGUAGGCGGACUGUCAAGUCAGCGGUAAAAUACGGGGGCUCAACCUCCGCCCGCCGUUGAAACUGACGGUCUUGAGUGGGCGAGAAGUAUGCGGAAUUCCCGGUGUAGCGGUGGAAUGCGCAGAUAUCGGGAAGAACACCGAUGGCGAAGGCAGCUCUCUGGGCCGUCACUGACGCUGAGGCGCGAAAGCUGGGGGAGCGAACAGGAUUAGAUACCCUGGUAGUCCCAGCCGUAAACGAUGGACGCUAGGUGUGGGGGGACCUGCCCUCCGUGCCGCAGCCAACGCAUUAAGCGUCCCGCCUGGGGAGUACGGCCGCAAGGCUAAAACUCAAAGGAAUUGACGGGGGCCCGCACAAGCAGCGGAGCAUGUGGCUUAAUUCGAAGCAACGCGAAGAACCUUACCAGGGCUUGACAUGCGAGUGAAGCCGGGGAGACCCGGUGGCCGAGAGGAGCUCGCGCAGGUGGUGCAUGGCUGUCGUCAGCUCGUGUCGUGAGAUGUUGGGUUAAGUCCCGCAACGAGCGCAACCCCCGUCCCGCGUUGCCAGCAUUAGGUUGGGGACUCGCGGGAGACUGCCGGCGUCAAGCCGGAGGAGGGUGGGGACGACGUCAAGUCAUCAUGCCCCUUAUGCCCUGGGCUGCACACGUGCUACAAUGGCCGGUACAGAGGGUUGCCACCCCGCGAGGGGGAGCGGAUCCCGGAAAGCCGGCCCCAGUUCGGAUCGCAGGCUGCAACCCGCCUGCGUGAAGCCGGAGUUGCUAGUAAUCGCGGAUCAGCACGCCGCGGUGAAUACGUACCCGGGCCUUGCACACACCGCCCGUCAAG